Molecule: long non-coding RNA, 370 nt
Organism: Cavia porcellus (domestic guinea pig)
Lineage: Eukaryota; Metazoa; Chordata; Mammalia; Rodentia; Caviidae
Exons: 2
Source: RefSeq, a predicted model, not a curated record
GGCGAAUGCUGGGACAUAGCGCGCAGGGGUGGGCAGAGAUCCCACCUAGAAGCUGCUAUGACGGCGCUAAGAUGGAGCAGGGAAAUAAUAGGUGCAAGACCGGCAGCUGGUGAGCAGCAACCUGUAGGAGCCGGCGCGUUUGCGAGGGAUGCAUGGCCCAGGACGCUGCACCAAAAGCUGAACCCGUGGUGUGGACAGUCUCGCGUGUAUCUCUCAGCGGCGGAAUGGGCCAGCACCGGCACGAAUGAGUCAGCGUGGCAUGGAAUGGGUUGGAUGUGGAGCUGAAACUGUGGGGCCCACAGAAUUGGAGCACGAUGUGAGAGCGAAAAGAAAAAAAAGCUGUUUAAAAUCUAAAGCAGUUUUAUGUGAC